AAGUCGUAACAAGGUUUCCGUAGGUGAACCUGCGGAAGGAUCAUUAUUGAAUAAACUUGGUCGGGUUGUGCUGGUCUCUUGGGACAUGUGCACGCCUGGCACCAUUUUUAACCACCUGUGCACCCUUUGUAGACCUGGAUACCUCUCGGGGAAACUCGGUUUGAGAACUGCCGCGCGAAAGCCUGCUUUUCUUGCAUUUCCGGUCUAUGUCUUUAUAUAAACCCCACAAGAAUGUAACAGAAUGUCAUUAAUGUAAUGGCCUUUGUGCCUUUAAAUAAAAUACAA
This 285-nucleotide unclassified non-coding RNA is filed under the name plant metagenome. Its description in RNAcentral is "partial contains small subunit ribosomal RNA and internal transcribed spacer 1". The stretch from base 1 to 46 matches the Rfam family "Eukaryotic small subunit ribosomal RNA", at positions 1786 to 1831 of the family's 1831-position model. The record is from RNAcentral.